Long non-coding RNA from Lytechinus pictus (painted urchin), 949 nucleotides. RefSeq lists it as uncharacterized. The transcript has 3 exons. NCBI's taxonomy places the organism in Eukaryota, Metazoa, Echinodermata, Echinoidea, Temnopleuroida, Toxopneustidae. The record is from RefSeq and is a predicted model, not a curated record.
UUUUCACAGCUCAGAUUGGCAUGUUGGUGAACUUAUUAGCUUAGAUUUCACGUUAGUCAUGCCUACAUGAGCUGCAUACAACUGCUCUAAUCGGUAGGAUGUGGACGGACAUUGCAUUCAUUCCCAUUCAGCCGUUGGACUGAACCUGUACUGUCUGGAACACAGUAUGGAUGGUCAAUAUGAAGCGAGCUUCAUUGAAUUCCUCCAAGAGCUCUGUACUCCGUUCUGAUCAUUUUGAAGAUGGUUGCUUUGACAGGACUGGGCAAGUGACUCGUCUUAGACAGGAUGCUGUCCCAACCAUGUUUGAUUUCCUGCCUCGUCUUCAGAAGAAUUCACCAAACCAAGGAAUUCCCCGAAAGAAAGAUGUUUUGAUUCAGCAAACAACCUCCAAAAUACUGCAAAGACACCUGUACCAAAGUCUUCAGCACCUUUAUUUCUCAAGGACCACUCCUACUCAAUAUCAGAAAGUCCAAGAGGGGUAAAGUGGAAGUUAACAGCAAUAAUGGACUGUAUUAAGAACUUGGAGAAGAGGCUGUAAACCACACACGAGAAGUCCCGCCAUGUACAUUACUUGCUCUUAAGUUUGGACAAACAUAACUUGCAAAACUUUACAACAAAUAAUUACCCCCAUGUGCAUUCUGAUUAUUUAAAAUAGCUCAAUGAAAUAGUUUAUCAGUGGGCAUGUAACAAAAGUGAAUUCAUUAAAUUUGAACGUGUUGCAAAAAUGAUGUCUUACAGUAUAUUCAUUCUGACUUAGAAUGUCAGAAGAGAAAAAAGUUUGUGAAAAGUAGGAAUGACGGCAAGAUGACAGAAGAAUAGAACAGGAUAGAGCAAGGGGGACAGAUAAAGGACAAGUCCACCCCAAAAAUUGUUGAUAUGAAUAAAAAGAGAAAAAUCCAACAAGCAUAACACUGAAAAUUUGAUAAAAAAUCGGAUGUAAAAUAAGAAA